RNAcentral lists this ribosomal RNA (497 nucleotides) under uncultured bacterium. RNAcentral describes it as "partial 16S ribosomal RNA". It matches the Rfam family "Bacterial small subunit ribosomal RNA", at positions 28 to 507 of the family's 1533-position model. The record is from RNAcentral.
GAUGAACGCUGGCGGCGUGCCUAAUACAUGCAAGUCGAGCGAACGGACGAGAAGCUUGCUUCUCUGAUGUUAGCGGCGGACGGGUGAGUAACACGUGGAUAACCUACCUAUAAGACUGGGAUAACUUCGGGAAACCGGAGCUAAUACCGGAUGAUAUUUUGAACCGCAUGGUUCAAAAGUGAAAGACGGUCUUGCUGUCACUUAUAGAUGGAUCCGCGCUGCAUUAGCUAGUUGGUAAGGUAACGGCUUACCAAGGCAACGAUGCAUAGCCGACCUGAGAGGGUGAUCGGCGCCCCUGGACCUGCGACACGGUCCAGACUCCUCCGGGGGGCAGCAGUAGGGAAUCUUCCGCAAUGGGCGAAAGCCUGACGGAGCAACGCCGCGUGAGUGAUGAAGGUCUUCGGAUCGUAAAACUCUGUUAUUAGGGAAGAACAUAUGUGUAAGUAACUGUGCACAUCUUGCCGGUACCUAAUCAGAAAGCCACGGCUAACUACGUG